UCGAAUAAUCCAUGUCUCCUUCAUAUAUUUUCGAUAAUAUGGUUCGAAAGUUUCUACUAAAUCACCGUAAAUGAUUGGACUAUGAGGGCAGAUUCUUUUUGU
This 102-nucleotide non-coding RNA is filed under the name Pseudobacillus badius. RNAcentral's name for it is "Bacillus badius Guanine sequence". It matches the Rfam family "Purine riboswitch aptamer". From Rfam's summary of the family: Riboswitches are metabolite binding domains within certain messenger RNAs that serve as precision sensors for their corresponding targets. The record is from RNAcentral. Lineage: Bacteria; Bacillati; Bacillota; Bacilli; Caryophanales; Bacillaceae.